Molecule: signal recognition particle RNA, 148 nt
Filed under: Gorilla gorilla gorilla (western lowland gorilla)
Lineage: Eukaryota; Metazoa; Chordata; Mammalia; Primates; Hominidae
Description: Metazoan signal recognition particle RNA
Rfam family: Metazoan signal recognition particle RNA
About the family: The signal recognition particle (SRP) is a universally conserved ribonucleoprotein. It is involved in the co-translational targeting of proteins to membranes.
Source: Rfam by way of RNAcentral
GCCAGGCAUGGUGGCGCAUGCCUGUAAUCCCAGCUACUUGGGAGGCUGAGGCAGGAGAAUCGCUUGAGCCCAGGAGGCGGAGGUUGCAGUGAGCCAGGAUCGCGCCACUGCACUCCAGCCUGGGCUACAGAGUGAGACUCCAUCUCCA